AUUGAACGCUGGCGGCAUGCCUUACACAUGCAAGUCGAACGGUAACAGGUCUUCGGAUGCUGACGAGUGGCGAACGGGUGAGUAAUACAUCGGAACGUGCCUAGUAGUGGUGGAUAACUACUCGAAAGAGUGGCUAAUACCGCAUGAGAUCUACGGAUGAAAGCAGGGGAUCGCAAGACCUUGUGCUACUAGAGCGGCCGAUGGCAGAUUAGGUAGUUGGUGGGAUAAAAGCUUACCAAGCCGACGAUCUGUAGCUGGUCUGAGAGGACGAUCAGCCACACUAGGACUGAGACACGGCGCAGACUCCUACGGGAGGCAGCAGUGGGGAAUUUUGGACAAUGGGCGCAAGCCUGAUUCAGCAAUGCCGCGUGCAGGAUGAAGGCCUUCGGGUUGUAAACUGCUUUUGUACGGAACGAAAAGCCCUGGGUUAAUACCCUGGGGUCAUGACGGUACCGUAAGAAUAAGCACCGGCUAACUACGUGCCAGCCGCCGCCGUAA
This 498-nucleotide ribosomal RNA is filed under the name uncultured bacterium. RNAcentral describes it as "partial 16S ribosomal RNA". It matches the Rfam family "Bacterial small subunit ribosomal RNA", at positions 30 to 523 of the family's 1533-position model. The record is from RNAcentral.